Molecule: ribosomal RNA, 818 nt
Filed under: uncultured Gemmatimonadota bacterium
Lineage: Bacteria; Pseudomonadati; Gemmatimonadota
Description: bacterial SSU rRNA
Rfam family: Bacterial small subunit ribosomal RNA
Source: RNAcentral
CAAUGGGCAACCGGCGAACGGGUGCGUAACACGUGUNGCAACCUACCGAACUGUGGGGGAUAGCCGGCCUAACGGCCGAGUAAUAUCGCAUACGCUUUCAUUGAGGCAUUUCAGUGAAAGGAAACCUACGGGACAGAUCGAGGGGCUCGCGGCCUAUCAGCUAGUUGGCGAGGUAACGGCUCACCAAGGCGACGACGGGUAGCUGGUCUGAGAGGAUGGCCAGCCACAUUGGGACUGAGAUACGGCCCAGACUCCUACGGGAGGCAGCAGUGGGGAAUCUUGCGCAAUGGCCUAACGGCUGACGCAGCGACGCCGCGUGUGGGAUGAAGCUCCUCGGAGUGUAAACCACUGUUGCCCGGGACGAAUAGCUCGAUUAAUCGAGCCUGACGGUACCGGGUGAGGAAGCACCGGCUAACUCCGUGCCAGCAGCCGCGGUAAUACGGGGGGUGCGAGCGUUGUCCGGAAUCACUGGGCGUAAAGGGCGCGUAGGUGGUUUGAUAAGGGUGUGGUGAAAGUCCGGGGCUCAACUCCGGAUCUGCCGUGCCGACUGUCAAACUCGAGGGCUGUAGAGGCAGACGGAAUUCCGGGUGUAGCGGUGGAAUGCGUAGAGAUCCGGAGGAAGACCGGUGGCGAAGGCGGUCUGCUGGGCAGUUUCUGACACUGAGGCGCGACAGCGUGGGGAGCAAACAGGAUUAGAUACCCUGGUAGUCCACGCCGUAAACGAUGGGUACUAGGUGCCUGGGGGAGCGACCCUCUGGGUGCCGGCGCUAACGCAGGAAGUACCCCGCCUGGGGAGUACGACCGCAAGGUUGAAACUC